Molecule: long non-coding RNA, 5568 nt
Filed under: Brassica napus (rape)
Lineage: Eukaryota; Viridiplantae; Streptophyta; Magnoliopsida; Brassicales; Brassicaceae
Description: long non-coding RNA (BNAP_LNC010963)
Source: RNAcentral
UGCGGCCAACUAGUUGUGGUUGAGGAACCUACUUAUGCUCCUCCGCCUCCACUAGUUGUGAUUGAGGAACCUACUUCUUCUCCUCCGCCUCCAUUAGAUGUGGUUAAUGAACCUAUUUUUGCUCCUCCGCCGUGGGGGAAUCUGUAUAUGGAGAUUAUAUAUAAAGAGAAGAAGGUGUCAUGAGUUUGGUCAUAACUUCACAGUUUUCUCCCAAGAAGAAAAAAAAAGAGAAACCGAACAGUAAGUGGGGAACCUUGAAGCUAGUUCAAACUAGUGAGAGGUUGAUCCACGUUCUAACUGCAAAUCCAAAAACACAAAUCCAAACCUUAAAAGCAUCAUAUAGAGAUGGUUCGUGGAAAAAUUCAGCUGAAGAGGAUCGAGAACCCGGUUCACAGACAAGUAACGUUCUGCAAAAGGAGAACUGGUCUUCUCAAAAAGGCUAAGGAGCUCUCUGUGCUCUGUGACGCCGAGAUUGGUGUUGUAAUUUUUUCUCCUCAGGGCAAGCUCUUUGAGCUUGCAACUAAAGGGUAUUAAUGUAUUAUAUAUCUCAUAGUCUUCAUAUAUGUAUUUUUGUUUUUUUUCAAGAAUUCCUUUAUUUGUGUUUUAAUGUAGUUAAAUAGAAACUUAUAUAUAUAGAAAUUUGAUUUAUAAAAAACAGAACAAUGGAGGGGGUGAUUGAUAAGUACUUGAAGUGUACUGGUGGUCAUCGUGGUUCUUCUUCUGCUACUUUUACUUCUCGAGAACAAUUUCAACCCCCAAAUCUUGUACGUCUCUCUCCUCUCUUUCAUUUUAAUUCUUUAUUUCCUUGCGUACUUAUAAAACUUUUCUCUUUGAGUUUUGGAAUCAAUUUUUGAAACUGUUUGGUUGUUAUGCCAUUUUUGGUUUUAUUAAAAUUAGCCGGUGCUCAACGUCUCAUAAACACCGUUAAUCAUUUCUUUUCAUUUCGUUCUAUGGGGUUUUCUGUUUCUUCUUUUUCUGUAUAAAUAUACUCCUUAUUUUGAUAUUAUGCUAUUUGGUAACACGUGUGGACAUGCAAAGCGAGACUCUGUUGGGCGUUGUUCAUAAUUAACUGAUUUGAAUUAAAAUAGUCUGCAAGCUAGGUAGGGCACCAGAUUCCGAUUAUACAUGAAAUUAAUAGUUAUGAAGUAAACAGUCGUUGCAAUUACCGCUCCCAUUUUCUGAUUUAUUAAUUUUAUCAACUAGUGUGAGCCACUCACAUAUUGUGGAACGUUUGUACUACAAGUAUAAAUGAAAAAAAAAAACAAAACAAAAACAAAACAAAAACAAGUAAUUUGUUUCAAUUUUUAUUGGUAAAGCAAAACAAUUCAAACUAUUACUGUUAAAGUAAAAGAUGCUUUAGAUACAACAAUACCCAUAUAACACUUUAAAAAUAUUUGAAUAUUUUUGUUCUUUAAUCCCAUUAUAUUUCGAACGAAGUAUCAUAUUAUUUUAUCUCAGCACAGUCUUUUGAUAAAAGUUGCCCUAGACACUUAAAAAACGUAGCCCUAAGCUGUUGUCAUUGGCACGCGCGGAACCAUGUACAUACUCCAUUAUAUUUUUUUUAUGCAUGAUAUCUAUACAUUUUUGGAAUAAAUACAUGUACGUCUGUCUAUAUGUACGGUCAGUACGGACAUGGUCCCUAAUUGUAACUUAACAUUAUUAUUUACAAAUAAUAGAAACAUUGAAACGAGAUUUGAUUAUUUAGGAUCCGAAAGAUGAGGUCAAUGUGCUUAAGAAAGAGGUUGAGAUGCUUCAGAAAGGAAUAAGGUAUAUAUUUAGUUAUUUACACAUUAGCUACUUCCUUACUAAAUUCGUACAUACAUACAUAUAUAUAUGCAUAUAUGGAUGCAUGUUCUUAUGGAUUAUAAAUUCGUACAUACAUACAUACAUAUAUGCAUAUGUAAUAAUAAAAUGGAUUCAGUUAUAUGUUUGGAGGAGGAGAUGGGGCGAUGAAUCUUGAAGAACUUCUUCUGCUAGAGAAGCAUCUUGAGUAUUGGAUUUCUCAGAUCCGCUCUGCUAAGGUAUACAUGAGAUUAAUGCUUGUAUAGAUGUACAAUCAAUAUGUUACGGAAAAUAAAUAUUAAAUACUGAAGAUUAGGAAAAUUAUACAGUAAAAUUCUAUAAAUUAAUAAUGUUGGGACUAUGGUGUUUUAUUAUUUUAUAGAGUUAUUAAUUUAUAAAACUUUCAUUUUUAGAUUUUACCAUAUAUAUACAUUAAUUAAAUUUUAGAAAAUAUAUUUUAUAUUUUAUUAUAUUACUUGGUGUACAUAAAAUAUCUUUCAUAGAAUUUAAGUGUUGCUUUAUAGUAUUAUUGUCAAAUAUAUUGAAAUGUUAAGAAAACAUAGAUGAAUUAUUUUUUUGUACAUAUAUAAAUUAUAUAUAUACAAAUUAUUAAUUUAUGAUUUUAAUAGGAUUAUAUAUUUACAUUGGAUUAACUUAAAAAAAUAUUAUCUUAUUAUCUUAUCGAUUCGUGUCAUAUUUUGAACUGGCCUAACUCGAGAACAAAAAAAUUAUUAAUUUAUCGUGUUUAUUCAUUUAUAGAAUUUCUACUGCAUAUCUCUUUUUUUUGGCAAAAAGUUAUAUGUUCUAUUACAAAGAAGUUUUUUGUGUAAUGUUGCAGAUGGAGAUUAUGCUUCAAGAAAUUCAAUCCUUGAGGAACAAGGUAAGCACAUUACAUCAUUGUAUAUUCAGCUUCAUAUAAAUCAGUACGUAUGAGUCAGGAUUUUGGUUUUGAAAAUGAAAAACAAAAAACAUUAAAUUAACAUUGCUCAACGGUUUUGUAUGUCUGUGUGAAGGAAGGAGUCCUCGAAAAUGCCAACAAGUAUCUCCUCGAUAAGGUAUCAAAUUUACUAGUAUGUAAUUGUUAUAAUUGCACAUCUUAUGAAGUUGGAGAUCUAUAAGAGAGUUAUAUCCAAAUGCAUAUCUUGAUAUAGUCACAACAUUCCAAUGAUAUUUAGACUGAUUUGCCCUAACGCUUUACUUUGUUGCUGUGUUGGUGAAAUAAUGCAGAUAGAGGAGAACAACAAUAGCAUAUUAGAUGCUAACUUCGCAACAGUGGAGACUAACUAUUCUUAUAUUCCACUAGCCAUGCCAAGUGAAAUAUUUCAGUUCUAGACCAUAGGAUAUUUGAAGACUAUGUCUUACGAAUUCAAAUAAUCUUUGGUAAGCAUAAUUAGUGUAUUAAAAUCAUGCACAAGUAUAAUAAAGUAUGUGGUACUUGCUAGGCUAUUGAAAAUCUAUUUGUAACUUUUUCCUCUUGUUUUAAUUUGUUGGUGUGAGCGGUGAAAUGACUAAAAGUAUUGUUUGUAUACUUUGCACUUAAAAUCUUUCUAUCUAUGUUUUGAGUUUAUGGAUUACUGUAGAAACUCAAUAAAUUAAUACUCGAUAAUUAAUAAACACUAUAAAUUAAUAAAUUUUUCUCGUACCAAAUUGGGUCGGUUCAAAAUAUGAUACAAAUCGAUAAAAUAAUAACAUAAUAAUAUUUUAGAAAAUCCUAUACAUAUAUGGUCCCGUUAAAAUGAUAAACUAAUAAUUUUUGUAUAUAUACAUUUUAUAUAAGUACAAACAAACAGUUGUAUUAUUUGCUUUAUUUCACAAUAGAAUUAUUUUUUUAUUUUCUUAACACUUCAAUAUAUUUUACUAAUAUUUAGUAAAAUUAUACCUAAACCACAUUUAAAAUUUAUAAACAUAUUUCAUAUACACCAAAUAAUACAAUAACAAUAAUGUGAAAGUCGAAUUUCAAAAAAUUAAUUAAUAUAAAUAUGGUAAAAUCAAUUAUUUUGUAAAAAAAUAUUAUAAAAUAUAAAAAAUUCAGAAAAAACUUUUUGUAAAUUAAAUAACUCUAUAAAUUAAUAAAAUGGCAUAGUAUCAACAUUAUUAAUUUAUAGAGUUUUUACUCUAUAGGGUUUGUGUUGACUGAGGAUGCAUAUCCUCUUUUUCAAUGUAUUUACAUUGUUAUCUAUGUAACCUCUAGACUCCAACGUAGAAAAUGGAUAGUUAAGAACAAAGUGGUAUUUGUUGUUCAAAAAAAAAAAAAAAAAAAAAAAAAAAAAAGAACAAAGUGGUAUUUCAACACAAAAUCGAAAUGAUUUGACUCGAUUCGAAAACUGAUAAUGUAAAAAGAACAAAGUGGUAUUUCAACACAAAAUCGAAAUGAUUUGACUCGAUUCGAAAACUGAUAAUGUAAUGAAACUUAAAACAAUGCUCCAUAGAUGUUUUUUUACAAAAAAAAAAAAUGCUCCAUAGAUGUGGAAACUUUCAAAGUGGCUUAACAUUCGAUGAUACGAGUGAACUACCAUUUAUGGCAAAAAAAAAACGACUACCAUUUAGUAGGUCCCACGUUUGUAUCAUUCCAUCACACAGUCUGAGAAGUUAAACAUUGAAAGUCAACCCUACAGUUAAUAGAUCAAUAUUCAGGAAGCAAGAUGCGAAUUCCUACUAGUAUAACCACCAUCUUGAAUUAGAAGAGACUUUUUUUGUUGCUUUUUCUCGCUUCUUCAACAUAAUUGGUCUUCACGACUGUCUGACUUUGAAAGCUAGCUUAAACGUCAUUGAGAACAUCGACAAUUUAAAUGCAACCUUUCUCUCUUUUUAUUUUUAUUUUUUUAGACAAAUGCAACAUUUCUCUUCUUUAUCUUCUUUUGAUUAUAUUUGCCUCUUCCUUGUGAGCUUAACAAAAGUAGUCGUUUGUAAAGGAGGUUCUUUUUUUUUGAUUAAGCAUUUGCAAAUCUUCCACUAGCUCAACGACUACAUUAUUCUCUAAUCAUACCUUUUACCAUAAGUUCCAUUAACUGAUCUAAAAUUAACUGCUAAUAAUAUAAAUGUUUGUAUAUCUACGUACGUAAGUCAUUCACUUCGAAACAUGUGUUUAGUGUAUAAAAAAUACAGGAUAUGGUAUAAUGAUUUUAUGGAUAUGCUAUAUGUAUACGGUAUACCAUAACUCACAUAUUGUGAUUGUCGUGAAUUGCUUUUAUUACUGUGUGGUAGAAGACGGAUACAAACAUUUACUACUCUUCACCAAAACCCCUCUCUUUCCCUCUAUAAAUCUCUCAAAUUCUUACUUUUCUUCACCCAAUAAAAUUAACCCUAUCAAACUCAAACAACUUCACAAUAUGGCUUUCCACUUCCGGCGACUAUGCUACUUUCCAGCUCUUCUCUUGGUGGUUAUCCAGCUUUUGCAUGGCGUCUGCGGCCAACUAGUUGUGGUUGAGGAACCUACUUAUGCUCCUCCGCCUCCACUAGUUGUGAUUGAGGAACCUACUUCUUCUCCUCCGCCUCCAUUAGAUGUGGUUAAUGAACCUAUUUUUGCUCCUCCGCCUCCAUUAGAUGUGGUUAAUGAACCUAUUUCUGCUCCUCCGCCUCCAUUAAAUGUGGUUGAGGAACCUCUUUCUGCUCCUCCGCCUCCAUUACAUGUGGUUGAGGAACCUAUUUCUGCUCCUCCGCCUCCAUUAGUCAAACAAGACGGCAAUGAUGGCAUUGUGCCGGCAUUGUUUGUCUUUGGUGACUCUCUCAUAGACAAUGGGAACAACAAUAACAUCCCUUCCUUUGCUAAAGCCAAUUACUUCCCUU